RNAcentral lists this ribosomal RNA (380 nucleotides) under uncultured eukaryote. RNAcentral's name for it is "partial 18S ribosomal RNA". It matches the Rfam family "Eukaryotic small subunit ribosomal RNA", at positions 592 to 976 of the family's 1831-position model. The record is from RNAcentral.
CAAUAGCGUAUAUUAAAGUUGUUGCGGUUAAAAAGCUCGUAGUUGGAUUUCUGCUGAGAACGACCGGUCCGCCCUUUGGGUGUGUAUCUGGCUCUUUCUUGGCAUCUUCUUGGUGAACGUUGCUGCACUUGACUGUGUGGAGCGCUACCCAGGACUUUUACUUUGAGGAAAUUAGAGUGUUUCAAGCAGGCAUACGCCUUGAAUACAUUAGCAUGGAAUAAUAAGAUAGGACCUCGGUUCUAUUUUGUUGGUUUCUAGAGCUGAGGUAAUGAUUAAUAGGGAUAGUUGGGGGCAUUCGUAUUUAACUGUCGGAGGUGAAAUUCUUGGAUUUGUUAAAGACGGACUACUGCGAAAGCAUUUGCCAAGGAUGUUUUCAUUGA